Molecule: RNA transcript, 2388 nt
Organism: Chrysemys picta bellii (western painted turtle)
Lineage: Eukaryota; Metazoa; Chordata; Testudines; Emydidae
Gene: PIGC
Gene name: phosphatidylinositol glycan anchor biosynthesis class C
Source: RefSeq, a predicted model, not a curated record
UCCCAGCCCCACACAGGCUGCUGUGUCUCGCUGCAGAGCCGGCAGCGCACAGGCCAGCAGGGGGCAGUCCGCGCGGAGACAGGCUCAGGCCCUGCCUACAUGGCGGGGAGAGACUCGCGCCCCGCGCAGACAGGAAGCGGCUCCUCAGCGGCCCAGGCCCAGGAGCUGGCAGGGCUCUGCACAGAAUGAGGAGGUGACUCUCAGCCCCAGCCUGAUGCACAGAGCUCUGAGCGCUUUGUGAUGAGCCCUUCUCGGAGGAGGGGACUACAGAAACCUUCUACUUGUGCACUCCUGGAGAACGAGCCCUCCUCUGCGUGUGGCUCUCCCAGGUCUGUGUGAGGGAAUCUCCAAGAGGCUGCUGACGCAGCAGGGCUGUGCUGGGAGAAUGGUCUGUGCCCAGGUGGAAGCGAGCCCUGGGAAGUGCUGGCAGAAGGUGCUGUAUGAGAGGCAGCCCUUCCCAGAUAACUAUGUGGACCACCGGUUCCUGGAGGAGCUGCGGAAGAACAUCUACGCCCGCAAGUACCAGUAUUGGGCAGUGGUGUUUGAGUCCGGGGUGGUGAUCCAACAGCUGUGCAGCGUCUGCGUCUUUGUCGUCAUCUGGUGGUACAUGGACGAUGGGCUGCUGACCCCACAGUGGCUGUUUGGGUCUGGCCUGGCCUCUUCCCUGAUUGGCUAUGUCCUGUUUGAUGUCAUAGACUUGGGGGUGGGGAGGAAGCAGAGCGGUCGGACCCGGUGGGCAGAUCUGAAAAGCACCCUGGUGUUCAUAGCUUUCACCUAUGGCUUCUCCCCAGUGCUGAAGACCCUGACGGAGUCGAUCAGCACGGACACCAUCUACGCCAUGUCGGUCCUCAUGCUCCUGGGGCACCUGAUCUUCUUUGACUAUGGGGCCAAUGCUGCCAUCGUCUCCAGCACGCUGUCCCUCAACAUGGCCAUCUUCGCCUCUGUGUGCCUGGCCUCCCGGCUGCCCCGCUCCCUGCACACCUUCGCCAUGGUCACCUUCGCCAUCCAGAUGUUUGCCCUGUGGCCCAUGCUGCAGAAGAAGCUCAAAGCGCGGACACCCCGCUGCUAUGUGGGGGUGACCCUGCUCUUCGCCUUGUCUGCGCUGACUGGGCUGCUGACCAUCUCGGGCGUCGCUGCCCUUCUCUUUGCCCUUCUGCUGGUCUCCAUUUCAUGCCUGUGUCCUUACUGCCUCAUCCGGCUGCAGCUGCUCAAAGACAACAUCCAUGGGCCUUGGGAUGAAGCUGAAAUCAAGGACGACCUCUCCAGGUUCCUCAUGUAGACUCGUCCAGGACACACAGCAGGCCGGCAGGACCCCUACAGUGCUACCGGAACAAAAGCCUUCUGCCUUAGAGACGACCUCCUGAGUGCCAGAAUCACAGAGAAGUGUGGGGGAGGUUGCAGUGUUAGAACAGAGCCUCUUCUCCCAGAGUUGCAAAGCUGUCGGGUCCGAUGUGUGUCUGGAAACAUCCCCAGGUUCUUAUUGCGUUGGCAUCUUCCCUUCUCAGGCUGUUGUAGCACUGGGUAUUUCCGCUAACAGACAGGCACAAGCAGAGGAAGGGGAUUGUUUGCCAAAGGCUUCCAGCAACACUUUGGCGAGCCAGCUUGGUCUGCUUGGCUGGAACACGAGAUGAUGGACGUGCCUGAAUUGUCUGGCCUUAUCGUGCUGCUCCCCUUUGAGUCCAGUCCAUUACCGACUGACUCAGCUGUGGCUAGUGCUGUCUCCUUCCCACGAGAGCAAGACAGCUCUGAGAGGCCUCUCCGUUCACACCUCUGUGCUACCUGUGCUCUGCAGGACUGUUUGUUCCCAACACGCUUCAGCAGGGAUCGCUCGCUCUCGGUGUCAGAUCCGAGGGCUGGAUUCUGGGUUUUACACGUUCAUUCAGGGAGAGGCUUAGUUUAAAUCAUGGUCAUGGGUGUAACUCCCCCGACACCACAGAUGGGUUUGUUUCAUGCUGCUCAUCCAUGCACUCUUGCUCUGAUGUGUGAGCUGAUCAGCGAUCCAUGGCAGUGCUCCCUGCACUGGACAGGUUGGUGCUCAGCACUCGCCCUCUGGAACAGCUGUUCCCGCUAGUGCUCCGAGUCCUGCUGGUUACUUCAGUGCUAGGACAGCGUGGCGGGGAGGGGAGGGCAUGAAGAACAGACUGAGAGGAGUCGAACAGCAAGAGAGGAUUGGUGGAAUGGCUCAGCUGUACAAUAAACCCCAGCCUUAGCAUGCAAGGUCACCUCCUGUACCCAGACAGCACCAUGGAAAUGAUUAUUACAAUAGAGCAGUGGUUCCCAAACUGGGGUUUGCAAAAUGUUACAGGGGGUUCUCGUGAAAAAAUUCCCUAAUGGCAGACAGAGCUGUCCCUAGGAACCCCAGGCACCAUGGGGCCAGCAGCCCAGAGC